UACGUAGGUCCCGAGCGUUGUCCGGAUUUAUUGGGCGUAAAGCGAGCGCAGGUGGUUUAUUAAGUCUGGUGUAAAAAGCAGUGGCUCAACCAUUGUAUGCAUUGGAAACUGGUAGACUUGAGUGCAGGAGAGGAGAGUGGAAUUCCAUGUGUAGCGGUGAAAUGCGUAGAUAUAUGGAGGAACACAGGUGGCGAAAGCGGCUCUCUGGCCUGUAACUGACACUGAGGCUCGAAAGCGUGGGGAGCAAACAGG
Molecule: ribosomal RNA, 252 nt
Filed under: uncultured bacterium
Lineage: Bacteria
Description: partial 16S ribosomal RNA
Rfam family: Bacterial small subunit ribosomal RNA
Source: RNAcentral